GCAGCUUCCCCUGCAUUCCCAAUUCCAUUUUUGAAACUGUAACACUCUUGCUCGUGCUCUGCUUCCUGAUUUUAUUUCUCUACUAUAUUUUAAUUCUGAAUACAAUAGUGUAUGUUCAUGUUUUGUAUUGUUGUCGCCAUCGUCAAUCUGGAUCCUAGUCGUCCCCGUCGUUCAUGCCCCUUCCUGCCCCUGUUUCUCUACUGCUAUUAUUUGGAGUACCAGCGUUGAUGCUAUUAUGAAUCUGUUAGAGUUGCUAUUGGGCUGUGAUUGCUCUUAAUUUCCAUCCAAUUUGAAUCCUGUGUUUGGUUACAACCCCGGUCACUGCCGUGAAGAUUAACAAUGCUGUUGUUCCGGUUGCUGCCUUGCCAUUCUGGUUGCGUGACAGUCACUGCUGCUGCCAUGAAACUAAAAGGGAAGGGAAUUGUUACGUUAAAUUAUGCAAUUGCGACAUCGAGCGACAGGUUUGAAGACACAAUUUGAAGCUGCGAGCGAUCAGUAGGCUUUCUUU
Non-coding RNA from Arachis ipaensis, 508 nucleotides. NCBI's taxonomy places the organism in Eukaryota, Viridiplantae, Streptophyta, Magnoliopsida, Fabales, Fabaceae. The record is from RefSeq and is a predicted model, not a curated record.